CCUACGGGUGGCAGCAGUGAGGAAUAUUGGUCAAUGGGCGCGAGCCUGAACCAGCCAAGUCGCGUGAGGGAUGAAGGUUCUAUGGAUCGUAAACCUCUUUUAUAAGGGCAUAAAGUGUGGGACGAGUCCUACUUUGUACGUACCUUAUGAAUAAGGAUCGGCUAACUCCGUGCCAGCAGCCGCGGUAAUACGGAGUAUCCGAGCGGUAUCCGGAUUUAUUGGGUUUAAAGGGUGCGUCGGCGGACGGGUAAGUCAGCGGUGAAAGUCUGUGGCUCAACCAUGGAACUGCCGUUGAAACUGGGGGGCUUGAGUGUGUUUGAGGCAGGCGGAAUGCGUGGUGGAGCGGUGAAAUGCUUAGAUAUCACGCAGAACCCCGAUUGCGAAGGCAGCCUGCCAGGCCAUGACUGACGCUGAUGCACGAAAGCGUGGGGAUCGAACAGGAUUAGAUACCCUUGUAGUC
This 460-nucleotide ribosomal RNA is filed under the name uncultured bacterium. RNAcentral describes it as "partial 16S ribosomal RNA". It matches the Rfam family "Bacterial small subunit ribosomal RNA", at positions 338 to 795 of the family's 1533-position model. The record is from RNAcentral.